Molecule: ribosomal RNA, 890 nt
Filed under: Porpomyces mucidus
Lineage: Eukaryota; Fungi; Basidiomycota; Agaricomycetes; Trechisporales; Hydnodontaceae
Description: eukaryotic LSU rRNA
Rfam family: Eukaryotic large subunit ribosomal RNA
Source: RNAcentral
UCAAAUCAGGGAGGGCUACCCGCUGAACUUAAGCAUAUCAAUAAGCGGAGGAAAAGAAACUAMCAAGGAUUCCCCUAGUAACUGCGAGUGAAGCGGGAAGAGCUCAAAUUUGUAAUCUGGCGGUUCUGCCGUCCGAGUUGUAAUCUGGAGAAGCGUUUUCCGUGCCGGACCGUGUACAAGUCCCUUGGAACAGGGCGUCAUAGAGGGUGAGAAUCCCGUCUCUGACACGGACUGCCGGUGCUCUGCGAUGCGCUCUCGAAGAGUCGAGUUGUUUGGGAAUGCAGCUCAAAAUGGGUGGUAAAUUCCAUCUAAAGCUAAAUAUUGGCGAGAGACCGAUAGCGAACAAGUACCGUGAGGGAAAGAUGAAAAGCACUUUGGAAAGAGAGUAAAACAGUACGUGAAAUUGUUGAAAGGGAAACGCUUGAAGUCAGUCGCGUCUUCCGGAACUCAGCCUUGCUUCUGCUCGGUGCACUUUCCGGUGUGACGGGCCAGCAUCGGCUUCGCGGGGCGGACAAAGGGGAGGGGAAGGUGGCAGCUCCGGCUGUGUUAUAGCCCCUCUCUGCACGCGUCCCGCGGGGCCGAGGAAUCCGGCGCUUGCGCCUGGGAUGCUGGCGUAAUGGCUUUAAGCGACCHGUCUUGAAACACGGACCAAGGAGUGCUACAUGCUCGCGAGUGUUUGGGUGAAAACCCGGGCGCGUAAUGAAAGUGAAAGUCGAUACCCUUUGCUGGGGCACCGACGCCCGAGCCCGAUGUUUUCGGAGGGCCUUGCGGUAGAGCGAGUAUGUUGCGACCCGAAAGAUGGUGAACUAUUCCUGAGGAGGGCGAAGCCAGAGGAAACUCUGGUGGAGGCUCGUAGCGGUUCUGACGUGCAAAUCGAUCGCAGGACUUGG